GGCCGAGCAGGUGAUGAGCUGUAGACUCGUAGACGGGGCACGGAGCCCCCCCAACAAG
RNAcentral lists this transfer RNA (58 nucleotides) under Cyrtodactylus yakhuna. RNAcentral's name for it is "partial tRNA-Tyr". The record is from RNAcentral. Lineage: Eukaryota; Metazoa; Chordata; Lepidosauria; Squamata; Gekkonidae.